CCAUUUUCCUACAAGGAGAAAAAAAGUUACUGACUUUUUGUUUUUGCUACUUUAUGCCACCCUUUCAAAGCCUACAAUGAGUCAGUUUCAUGGUUUAAACCUAAAAACGUGUGGAACAUUCCAGAAGUCUGUCUUUGCCCACUGCUUUGGUCACUCAUAGACCCACCUGAAGCUCUGGACUGUGUAAAAGGUAGGGCAGGGUGCAACCAGAGGGCCAGCCUGCACCUCCUACCCACCACAUUCUGAAGUCAUACCCACUUGUGUUAGUAGUCAUGGACAGUAUGUGAUUGAUUGCAGUCCUGAGUUGAGUGAUAGAGAAGUCACCUCGUCUCCUUUUUAGAUUAUGUGUGUGCAUGCAGGGAUGCAUGCCUGGUGGCAAGGAGAUCCCUGGGAGCUGCAGUUACAGGUGUUUGUGGGAUAUCUGGCUUGUUACAUGAAUGCUAGACUCUGAACUCUGGUCCUCAUGAUGGCACAGCAAGGGCUGAUUAACCCCUGACUCAUUUCUCCAGCCCCUGGUUUGGGGGUUUGAUUUUAAGACAGUCUCGCUUAGCCCAGGUUGGUGUCCAGCUCACUAUGUAGCCAAGGUUGACCUCCAACUCUUGCUGCACCUGCACCACCUUGCCUGGCUUGUCUUUGGGACCCUCGGUCAGGGAGCUGUUAGAAAGGCAGGGCCCAGCUGCCAUUCCUCAGGCUCACACCUGCAUGUUCUUCCACAGUGCUGGCUCCAGGGUUCCUGGGAUGGUCGUCUUCUUACCUGAAUCAGGGCUGGCCUCGGCAGGGCUAGAGAGAGGCCCCUCUUGCUGAGCCAUAUCAGACCUGAGACUCUCGCUUGACUCUCGAGACCCAGUUGCUGCAGAGCGGAUUCAUGUCCCCCCUGUGAGACGUCACUUCCCUUAGUUCAAAUCCAUGGAUCCCUGUGUCAGAGUAUACCAACCGGGUUCUAGGCUGAUUGACUGGGGGACACUGGGCUAGGGUUGGGUAAGGGACCAAACGUCUCUACCUCUCCUCACCUGGGCCAACUGGAUGACCAACCACCUUACUUGGCGCAUGUUCAAGGACAGCAAGAAAAAUGAGGGACUUUCAGGGGCAGCUGUGUUUUCUGACUCAGUCAUAAUGCCCCUAAAAAUCCUUAUUGUUCUUGCAGUGUGCAUCAGGCAGCUGUGGGCCAACCCAGCCCUCGCCCACCUGGCCCUUCCAGGCUGGAAAGAACUUGUGUUGUCAGAUUGGAACGUACCCUCUCCCCGAAAUGAGGAGGGAUGGGCACAUGCUGGUUGUUGAAACAGUUAGCGUGACUCCCACAUUAAAUUUGCAUACGUGUUCACUCUUUUGAGGGUGUGGGGAGGGCUGGGGGACAUUCCUGGGCUGCCCUGUUUCAUAUAAGGUUGUUGCGGGGAGGAAUAGUUGUCUUAUGGGAUCCAUCUCCCUCUCCUGUUUCCUGAGAAGUGGGGCAGGUACCUGGGCAGAAAUUUGCCUGUUUUUUUUUAAGCCUCGAGUGAAGAGACUCAGAGCCAGUGGCUAUGUUGAUCUGGGCAUUUCUCCUCUGCUGUGACCCCAGAACUUGCUUAUUCUUAGGUGGACAUUCUCCAGCCCCGUUACUGCAGAGACCAGCUCCAUGCUCAGCCAGUGCCUCCGCCCUACAUCUGUUUUGACUUGGGGGCCAUGCUCCUCUUCCCUAGCAUUACCAGGCCAGAGAGAUGUCACCAAAACUCAAAGCAGCAGUCUUGUGUGCCAGCUGAGGUGGCUUAUCCUCGGAUAAAUGAGUAAUAAGCAUCAUGGGACUUGUUACAGAAAGUCACUCAGUAUCUCAAGGACCUCACAUCAGCAAGGGACAGUCAUCUUCAAGAUGUCUUCAGGUCCCCAGGAGCCAGCUUGGAAGAUGGUGUUGGUGCUUGGUAGAUGCUGGACCACCAUGACUGCCCUGCUGGCCCUAGGUCUCUGGGCUCUGUGCCCCCAGCUCUGCUAGAGACUGCUGGCAUCUCACUACCAGGUAAGGGUUAGACAAGAUUUACUCUUGCAGGUGGAAGAUGAGUGAGGCUUUGGUGGACUGAGAUUCUCACACUUGGGAUGGACAAGGGCACCAGCUGUCCCAUUAGCUCUAACAGCUUUGCUGGGUUCUGCUAACUUCAGUCACCAUCUCCCCUGGAGCCUCUCUGCCCGUGCCAGUCCCUCCCCAAACCACCUUGCUCCUUCCCAUGGCCCUCAUUCUUAACCAAAGCAUUUGCAACAGGACAGGGCUCGGGGGGGGGGGUGGCUUGGUCAGUAAAGUGCUUGUCACAAGUUCCAUCCUGAGCACUACUCACCUGUGAUCUCAGGUGUCGAGGCAGAGACAGCUCUGAGGGGGACUGUCCAGCCACGCAGUCUAGCCAAAUGGAGGUUCAGUGGGAGAUCCUGUCAGAGAAUAAGAGCAGUUGAGGAAGGUACCUUGAGGUGGACCUCUGGCCUCCACACACAUGAACACACACACACACACUCACAAAGACAGUACAUCAGGUGGGUUUUUGUUUUUUCAGGUCAGGGUCUCACUAUGUAGAUCAGGCUGGCCUCCACCUCACCGAGAUCCACCUGCCUCUGCCUCCCUAGUGCUUUCAAAUACUGUAGACUAUUUGAAAACAUGUGCUGUCAAGUAUGCAUCAGAGGGAAGGAUGAGACUCAUAAGCACCCAAGCCUGAAUGUCUGUCGUGAGCCAAGCCUUCACACUUUCCUUCUGGCCCCACCCCAUUAACAGGAUGGGUACUUUUAUUUUUGGGGAAGAGGCAUACGCCAUGUUGCACACAUGGGGGUCAGAGGACUGCCUGUGGGUCUCCAGGGAUCAAACAGACCAUCAGGUUUGGUGGCAAGUGCCUUUCCUUGCUGAGCCAUCUUGCUGGUGCCUUUUAAAAAUGCAUUACUGUGUUCUCUUUUUGCCUUCAUAUGGGUUCCUGGGAUUGAACUCAGGACCUUACUGGGCAAGUACCUUUGAACCAGAGGGGGGCCGUUUUAUGGGAGCCAGGCCUCUCACCCAGUAAGCCACAGGCCUGUGCCUUCAGGAGCCUGGAUUUCUUUUUUUUUCCAAGGAGGAUAUGGAUAUGCCUGGCCACUGCUGCCUUUCAGCCAGGAACUCAGAGAUCUUACAGUCUUGCUGGAGGGAGUCUGAGGUGAGGUCCCCCAUGAGGCUAUCCUUGACCUACAGCUCUGUCAGGCUUUUUGACCCUUGAAUCACUUAAGGCAAUGGUUCUCAACCUUCUGCAUGCUGCAAUCCUUUAAAUAGAGUUCCCCAUAUUGUAAUGACCCCAACCAUAAAAUUAUUUCAUUUCUAUUUCAUAACUAUAAACUUGCUACUGUUAUAAAUCAUAAUGUAAAUAGGCAGGAUAUCUGAUAUAUGGCCCCUAAAAGGGUUGCAACCCACAGGUUGAGAAAAGCCAACUUAAGGAGUGUUAAGGGUGUCUGUUAACACAAACUAGAUCAGAGUUGUAGGGAUCAAGACAAACCUGAGGUGGGUGCCUUGACUUGCUGUUGGCUUUUUCUUGCAUGCCUUUGUGUUUUAUUUAGCAGCCAGGAGGAACUAUCAGGCUACAAGCCCACCAGAGGCGAUAGAAGACAUUCCCUCCAUCUCUGUGGAGAACCCCUUGGAGGAUGGGACCACUUGCAUCUGGCAGGCAAAGGUGAUUAGGGAAUCUACUGAGGACCCAGCACGGAAAUGACAGAGCCAGGAUUCACAUCUGCAGUUCUGACUCCAAGGAGGACACUUGAGCCGGGAACGCUGGUUCCUUGGAGAUAGUUGCACUGCCUGACACUGAGGUGACAUUUGGGUCUUCACAUGAUGGCUGGUGUCUUCUGCCACUGAUCCUGCAAGAUUAUCUUUCCUGACAGUUCUUCUCUGGACUCUGUCCCUGGCUGAACUGGAGGCCGUUGGCUCUGGGUUGAGCUGUAGUCCUUGCCUUUGUCCUGGAUUCCCUGAGGUUUGGGUCACAAAAGUCCAGCACAUAAGGAGGUAUCCUUCCCUUGGGAGUUUCAAGUUUCCACAGCUGCAGGACUCUGCCUUAGGCCAUGGCUUCUACACAGCUCCCCCUUGCCCUGCCAGAUGUCUUGGGGUCAGACACCCAGCAGCUUCUUUCUGGUUUACCUGACUGCUAGAAGCAGGACUCCCCUGACACUUUUUUUUUGGUCCUGGAGUUUAGACUCAGGACUUUAGACAUACUAGAAAAGUACUAUACCACUGGGGUACAUGCCCAGGCCUUUUUUGAUUUGAGACAAAAUCUUGCUAUGUGGUCCACCUUGGGCUUGAACUCAUAACCCUUUUGCCUCUAUCUCCGGAGUCCUAGCAUUAUAACUGUGUACCACCGUGCCCAUCUGAAUUUUCUGUUUUGACUCUUGUGUCAGCAAAGCAACCUUGAAUGGAAGUAGAGUCCAUUCCUGAUGGCUUGGCCAUUGCAGAGCUGUCUAGACAGGAAUGGAUAAGUGGAAGGACGAGUAGCUGUCAGUUUUCCAAGGACCUUGUUUCUAUUGAUAUAUUGUUCCUUCAAAGGUGACCCUUUAAUCUGUGUCACCAGGGUUCAAGCAGGGCCAGCCAUACCCCCUGGUUUCAGAGGAAGGCAUGUGUUCCAGGCCUGGGCAAGGACUGCAGAGUUCCCCCUCACACCCACAUUGGACUUCAGCUGCAUCUUUUCAUGGGAGUUAAGUUGACAAGAUGUCAGCUUGGAAUUGCUGGUGGCCAACUUAUGCAGCUGAUGAUGAAGCCAACAAAGAAGAAAGAAAACAAAGAUUAUGCUGUGUGGACUUGUUCUUUCUAUCCAACAAGCCCCUGGAUCGAGUCAUGCCUGAAGCCAACACUUGGACUAACCUGAUUAUAUGAGUCAAUGUUUUUUCUGUUGUUGUUUUUUCUAAAAGAAACUCAUUUUGGAUUUGCGUUACAGAAUGGCUCCUUGUACAGGCAAUGGUUGUUUACCUUUCUUGGAAUAGCAUUGUUGAGAUGUUCUUUCUUUACAUGCAACAAAAUUCGCCAGUUCUAAGUGUACAAUUCCUAGUCUUUUUCAGGAACAUAUACCCUUGUAACCAUCACCAUCAGAUUGGAAUAUUGCUUACCUGCCCUGAAAAGUUCCAUCCAAGCUCUUGAUGGUCAGUUUUUUAUCUGGAUGGUCACAUGGUUUCUCCUAGUGUGUUUUUCUGAUUCAUUCCUCCAUGCACAUUAGGGUCCAUCUACUCCGUUGUAGGCUGGGCAGCAUCACACCCUGUGGUCACACCACUAUUUCUUUAUCCAUCUGGUGUACAAUGAUUGAUAUGAAUAAAGCUGUUUUGCAUGUUCA
Molecule: long non-coding RNA, 5282 nt
Organism: Mesocricetus auratus (golden hamster)
Lineage: Eukaryota; Metazoa; Chordata; Mammalia; Rodentia; Cricetidae
Exons: 2
Source: RefSeq, a predicted model, not a curated record